Molecule: ribosomal RNA, 967 nt
Filed under: uncultured organism
Description: bacterial SSU rRNA
Rfam family: Bacterial small subunit ribosomal RNA
Source: RNAcentral
CGAACGCAACCUUCGGGUUGAGUGGCGGACGGGUGAGUAACGCGUGAGAAUCUGCCUUGGGGUCGGGGACAACCACUGGAAACGGUGGCUAAUACCGGAUAAGCCUUUGGGUAAAAGAUUUAUUGCCCCAAGAGGAGCUCGCGUCUGAUUAGCUAGUUGGUGAGGUAAAAGCUCACCAAGGCAGCGAUCAGUAGCUGGUCUGAGAGGACGAUCAGCCACACUGGGACUGAGACACGGCCCAGACUCCUACGGGAGGCAGCAGUGGGGAAUUUUCCGCAAUGGGCGAAAGCCUGACGGAGCAAGACCGCGUGAGGGAGGAAGGCUCUUGGGUUGUAAACCUCUUUUCUCAGGGAAGAAGCUCUGACGGUACCUGAGGAAUCAGCCUCGGCUAACUCCGUGCCAGCAGCCGCGGUAAUACGGAGGAGGCAAGCGUUAUCCGGAAUUAUUGGGCGUAAAGCGUCCGCAGGUGGCGAUUCAAGUCUGCUGUCAAAGCACGGGGCUUAACUCCGUUAAGGCAGUGGAAACUGAAUAGCUAGAGUGCCGUAGGGGUAGAGGGAAUUCCCGGUGUAGCGGUGAAAUGCGUAGAGAUCGGGAAGAACAUCGGUGGCGAAAGCGCUCUACUGGACGGCAACUGACACUCAGGGACGAAAGCUAGGGGAGCGAAUGGGAUUAGAUACCCCAGUAGUCCUAGCUGUAAACGAUGGAUACUAGGUGUAGCUUGUAUCGACCCGAGCUGUGCCGAAAGCUAACGCGUUAAGUAUCCCGCCUGGGGGAAGUACGCACGCAAGUGUGAUACUCAAAGGAAUUGACGGGGGCCCGCACAAGCGGUGGUAGUAUGUGGUUUAAUUCGAUGCAACGCGAAGAACCUUACCAGGGCUUGACAUGUCCGGAAUCCCGGUGAAAGCUGGGAGUGCCUUCGGGAGCCGGAACACAGGUGGUGCAUGGCUGUCGUCAGCUCGUGUCGUGA